GAUGAAGAACGCAGCGAAAUGCGAUAAGUAAUGUGAAUUGCAGAAUUCAGUGAAUCAUCGAAUCUUUGAACGCACCAUGCGCCCUUUGGCCAUUCCGAAGGGCAUGCCUGUUUGAGUAUCAUGAACACCUCAACUCUUCAUGGUUUUCCGUGAUGAGCUUGGACUUUGGGGGUCUUGCUGGCCUAUGGUCAGCUCCUCUAAAAUAAAUCAGCUUGCCAGUGUUUGGUGGGUAUCACAGGUGUGAUAACUAUCUACGCUUGUGGUUUUCCACCAGGUAACCUUCAGCAGUGGAGGUUCGCUGGAGCUCACAGAUGUGUCUCUCCUCAGUGAGGACAGCUCUUUGAAUGUUUGAUCUCAAAUCAGGUAGGACUACCCGCUGAACUUAAGCAUAUCAAUAAGCGGAGGA
This 406-nucleotide unclassified non-coding RNA is filed under the name soil metagenome. RNAcentral describes it as "partial contains 5.8S ribosomal RNA, internal transcribed spacer 2, and large subunit ribosomal RNA". The stretch from base 1 to 121 matches the Rfam family "5.8S ribosomal RNA", at positions 35 to 154 of the family's 154-position model. The record is from RNAcentral.